GGCGAAUGAAGAGGGAAAAGCCCAAAUUUGUAAUCUGGCUCUUUCAGAGUCCGAGUUGUAAUUUUAAGAACUGUUUUCAGUGCUGGACCAUGUACAAGUCUUCUGAAAAGAAGCAUCAUAGAAGGUGAUAAUCCUGUUCAUGAUAUGGACUACCAGUGCAAUAUGAUACAGUCUCUAAGAGUCGAGUUGUUUGGGAAUGCAGCUCAAAGUGGGUGGUAAAUUCCAUCUAAGGCUAAAUAUUGAUGAGAGACCGAUAGCAAACAAGUACCGUGAGGGAAAGAUGAAAAGAACUUUGGAAAGAGAGUUAACAGUACGUGAAAUUGUUAAAAGGGAAACAAUUGAAGUUAGACUUGUUAUUAAUAGUUCAACCUUUUUUUUUAAAAAGGAGUAUUCUAUUGAUUAACAGACCAACAUCAAUUUUUGGGUGUUGGAUAAGGGUUUAAGGAAAUGUAGCAGUUUUUGACUGUGUUAUAUUCCUUUUGAGCUUUGAUACAAUGCUUAAGAUUGAGGAAUG
This 514-nucleotide ribosomal RNA is filed under the name Puccinia tanaceti. RNAcentral describes it as "eukaryotic LSU rRNA". It matches the Rfam family "Eukaryotic large subunit ribosomal RNA", at positions 88 to 602 of the family's 3401-position model. The record is from RNAcentral. Lineage: Eukaryota; Fungi; Basidiomycota; Pucciniomycetes; Pucciniales; Pucciniaceae.